Molecule: ribosomal RNA, 515 nt
Filed under: uncultured bacterium
Lineage: Bacteria
Description: partial 16S ribosomal RNA
Rfam family: Bacterial small subunit ribosomal RNA
Source: RNAcentral
GAUGAACGCUGGCGGCGUGCCUAAUACAUGCAAGUCGAGCGAAUGGAUUGAGAGCUUGCUCUUAUGAAGUUAGCGGCGGACGGGUGAGUAACACGUGAGUAACCUGCCCAUAAGACUGGGAUAACUCCGGGAAACCGGGGCUAAUACCAGAUAACAUUUUGAACCGCAUGGUUCGAAAUUGAAAGGCGGCUUCGGCUGUCACUUAUGGAUGGACCCGCGUCGCUUUAGCUAGUUGGUGAGGUAACGGCUCACCAAGGCAACGAUGCGUAGCCGACCUGAGAGGGUGAUCGGCCACACUGGGACUGAGACACGGCCCAGACUCCUACGGGAGGCAGCAGUAGGGAAUCUUCCGCAAUGGACGAAAGUCUGACGGAGCAACGCCGCGUGAGUGAUGAAGGCUUUCGGGUCGUAAAACUCUGUUGUUAGGGAAGAACAAGUGCUAGUUGAAUAAGCUGGCACCUUGACGGUACCUAACCAGAAAGCCACGGCUAACUACGUGCCAGCAGCCGCCGUAA